GAGGAAUAUUGGUCAAUGGGCGCAAGCCUGAACCAGCCAUCCCGCGUGCAGGAAGACGGCCCUAUGGGUUGUAAACUGCUUUUCCAGGGGGAGAAUUUUUCUGUCGUGACAGGAAUUGACGGUACCCUGGGAAUAAGCAUCGGCUAACUCCGUGCCAGCAGCCGCGGUAAUACGGAGGAUGCGAGCGUUAUCCGGAUUUAUUGGGUUUAAAGGGUGCGUAGGCGGAUUGAUAAGUCAGUGGUGAAAACCUGCAGCUUAACUGUAGACUUGCCGUUGAUACUGUCAGUCUUGAGUGUGGUCAAGGUAGGCGGAAUGUGUAAUGUAGCGGUGAAAUGCUUAGAUAUUACACAGAACACCGAUUGCGAAGGCAGCUUACUGGGCCAUUACUGACGCUGAUGCACGAAAGCGUGGGGAUCGAAC
RNAcentral lists this ribosomal RNA (420 nucleotides) under uncultured bacterium. Its description in RNAcentral is "bacterial SSU rRNA". It matches the Rfam family "Bacterial small subunit ribosomal RNA", at positions 356 to 773 of the family's 1533-position model. The record is from RNAcentral.